CCUACGGGUGGCAGCAGUGGGGAAUAUUGCACAAUGGGGGAAACCCUGAUGCAGCAACGCCGCGUGAAGGAAGACGGCUUUCGGAUUGUAAACUUCUGUUCUUAGGGAAGAAUAAUGACGCGAGCUAAGGGGCAUGCGACGGCUAACUAUGUGUCCGCAGCCGCGGGAAUACGUAGGUGGCAAGCGUUUUCCGGAUUUACUGGGUGUAAAGGGAGCGCAGGCGGGAAGGCAAGUCAGAUGUGAAAACUACGGGCUUAACGUGUAGACUGCAGUUGAAACUGGUUUUUUUGAGUGAAGUGGAGGUAGGCGGAAUGCCGAGUGUAGCGGUGAAAUGCGUAGAUAUUAGGAGGAACACCAGUGGCGAAGGCGGCCUACUGGGCAUUAACUGACGCUGAGGCUCGAAAGUGUGGGGAGCAAACAGGAUUAGAUACCCUUGUAGUC
Molecule: ribosomal RNA, 441 nt
Filed under: uncultured bacterium
Lineage: Bacteria
Description: partial 16S ribosomal RNA
Rfam family: Bacterial small subunit ribosomal RNA
Source: RNAcentral